This 381-nucleotide ribosomal RNA is filed under the name uncultured eukaryote. Its description in RNAcentral is "partial 18S ribosomal RNA". It matches the Rfam family "Eukaryotic small subunit ribosomal RNA", at positions 592 to 976 of the family's 1831-position model. The record is from RNAcentral.
CAAUAGCGUAUAUUAAAGUUGUUGCAGUUAAAAAGCUCGUAGUUGGAUUUCUGGUUGAAGCGACCGGUCGGGCGUUGAUUCGUCUGCACUGAGUCGGUUUUGGCCAUCCUCUAGGAAAGUGCGUCUGGUAUUAAGUUAUCGGGCGUAUGAUCCUGGUCUUUUACUGUGAAAAAAUUAGAGUGUUUAAAGCAGGCCUUCGCCUUGAAUACAUUAGCAUGGAAUAAUGAGAUAGGACUUUGGUCUAUUUUGUUGGUUUGCAGACCGAAGUAAUGAUUAAUAGGGAUAGUUGGGGGUAUUUAUAUUCCGAUGUCAGAGGUGAAAUUCUUAGAUUUUCGGAAGAUAAACUUAUGCGAAAGCAUUUACCAAGGAUGUUUUCAUUAA